Long non-coding RNA from Sciurus carolinensis (gray squirrel), 1127 nucleotides. RefSeq lists it as uncharacterized. The record is from RefSeq and is a predicted model, not a curated record. The transcript is spliced from 2 exons. NCBI's taxonomy places the organism in Eukaryota, Metazoa, Chordata, Mammalia, Rodentia, Sciuridae.
GCGACUGCAGCGACAGCCCCUCUGCCUGCAGGCGGCCUGGCUCAGCCUGGCCUCCAGCUCUCUGGCGUCCAGCUCUGCAGCAGACACAGUCGCCCUCCCCUCCCCCACUGCUCCCAGGCCUCUCACCUGUACACGUGAUGCCGACAGAUGUCUCUGUCAUCGAAAAGCCCAAAGGGCACACUCGGGCCACCUCCUGACAGCCACCAUGGUUACAGCGGGGUUGAAAAUGACAAGCUAGCGUCGGUCUCAAGUGCCCAGAGUCUGGCACAUGAUCUCAGUGUCAACCGCUGGCCGUGGCCUUACCUGGGCAGGUGGCCCCUUGUUCUCCAUCCUGGCAGGAACAAACAUUGGGAGCGAUGCAGACUCCACUCCCACAGCCAAAGGAGCAGAGAGCUGAGAGGAGAAAGGCAGCUAAGGAGCUGGGGACCAGGGCCCCAUCUGCCCCUCAGACCGGGGACUGCGCACUGGCAAUGCACCCUGCUCAUGUGCACUGAGAGGGCCCUGGGCACGUGACGGCCACUUACGCAAGGUGCAGUGCCCACUGCCCAUGGAGGGUGCCCAGCCAGGGCAGCAGCCACUCCCGAAGCCAGAGAGGCAGACGUGGGGGCCCAACCGGCGUCUGCAAGAGAGGAGAGAGCACUUCGCACAUUCUGUACAGGGGAGAGACUGGUCAACAGCAAAGCCUCCCAGCCAGUCUGCAAGAUCAGCAAACAGUUCUCCAGACCCCCGCACCCUCCGGGAAGAACAAUGGGAAGUUCUCAAAGAAAAACACAGUGUUUCUGAGAUGCAGGACAGACAAAAGUAUGAGAGAACAGAUACCAGCUUCCUAUGGAUGUCUGCCCUAGGAACACAAGGAGUGACCCGGAAAGAGGACUCUGAACUCAGGAUGCAGAGCCCCCAGGACGGCUGCCUCAGGAUCUUUGCACUUGCAGCUCCCUCUGUUGGGAAGUCUACCCUACCCUUGCUUUAUUUUUGGCCAUAAUACUUUCCAAAACAUUAUUUGCUAAUUUGAUGACUGCCCAUUGUCUGUCUCCCUGCAGCUCCCUGUGGGUGCAGUUGUUCACCCCAGCACCCACAGCCAUGCCUGGCACAUAAUACACAUUCAAUAAAUGGCUGUUGAGGGAAAA